GACGAACUCUGGCGGCGUGCUUAACACAUGCAAGUCGAACGAUGAAGCCGGAGCUUGCUCCGGUGGAUUAGUGGCGAACGGGUGAGUAACACGUGAGCAAUCUGCCCUUGACUCUGGGAUAACUGCGGGAAACUGUAGCUAAUACCGGAUACGACACCUUGGGGCAUCCCAGGGUGUGGAAAGAAUUUCGGUCAAGGAUGAGCUCGCGGCCUAUCAGCUAGUUGGUGAGGUAAUGGCUCACCAAGGCGACGACGGGUAGCCGGCCUGAGAGGGUGACCGGCCACACUGGAACUGAGACACGGUCCAGACUCCUACGGGAGGCAGCAGUGGGGAAUAUUGCACAAUGGGCGAAAGCCUGAUGCAGCAAUGCCGCGUGAGGGAUGAAGGCCUUCGGGUUGUAAACCUCUUUUAGCAGGGAAGAAGCGAAAGUGACGGUACCUGCAGAAAAAGCACCGGCUAACUACGUGCCAGCCGCCGCGGUAA
This 483-nucleotide ribosomal RNA is filed under the name uncultured bacterium. RNAcentral describes it as "partial 16S ribosomal RNA". It matches the Rfam family "Bacterial small subunit ribosomal RNA", at positions 28 to 523 of the family's 1533-position model. The record is from RNAcentral.